This 404-nucleotide transfer-messenger RNA is filed under the name Candidatus Kaiserbacteria bacterium CG10_big_fil_rev_8_21_14_0_10_49_17. RNAcentral describes it as "partial transfer-messenger RNA". It matches the Rfam family "transfer-messenger RNA". Rfam says of the family: Bacterial tmRNA, also known as 10Sa RNA or SsrA, is named for its dual tRNA and mRNA-like properties. Its role is to liberate the mRNA from a stalled ribosome. To accomplish this part of the tmRNA is used as a reading frame that ends in a translation stop signal. Lineage: Bacteria; Candidatus Kaiseribacteriota. The record is from RNAcentral.
GGGGAUGAUCGGCCUCGAUAGUGGUGCUACUCAUUAUAUUGUGCGAAGCGGAAGUGGAUGACUUCCUAAAAACAUCCAAAACGAUACGUGCAAAGUCACUAUCAAAGGCAGUUCUCUCACCUUUCCAGAUGGGAGACUUCCAGUUCGCUUACGCUGUUUAAGGCUUUACGCCCCUGCCUACGGCAGGCAGGUAAGCGACCGUCAGCAUCUCCGACAUCCGAUACGAUUUGCUGACGUCAUACAUUUCGGGUCGCUCGUAUUCCCCGCACAGGGAUUACGCUAAGCACUGUGCUCGAUGUAUUCCGAUUCUGUUCAUCUCAUACGGCAUACAUUUAAAUCCUUAAGAUGAACUAGGCCUCGUAGACUCAUAUAGUGACACACUUCUGGACGGCGGUUCGAUUCCG